RNAcentral lists this ribosomal RNA (389 nucleotides) under uncultured bacterium. Its description in RNAcentral is "bacterial SSU rRNA". It matches the Rfam family "Bacterial small subunit ribosomal RNA", at positions 102 to 509 of the family's 1533-position model. The record is from RNAcentral.
ACGGGUGAGUAACGCGUGAGCAACCUGCCUUUCAGAGGGGGACAACAGUUGGAAACGACUGCUAAUACCGCAUAACGUAUACUUAGGGCAUCCUUGGUAUACCAAAGAUUUAUCGCUGAAAGAUGGGCUCGCGUCUGAUUAGAUAGUUGCGGGUAACGGCCACCAAGUCGACGAUCAGUAGCCGGACUGAGAGGUUGAACGGCCACAUUGGGACUGAGAUACGGCCCAGACUCCUACGGGAGGCAGCAGUGGGGAAUAUUGGUCAAUGGGGGCAACCCUGAACCAGCAACGCCGCGUGAAGGAAGAAGGCUUUCGGGUUGUAAACUUCUUUUGCCGGGGACGAAACAAAUGACGGUACCCGGCGAAUAAGCCACGGCUAACUACGUGCC